This 76-nucleotide transfer RNA is filed under the name Dipodomys ordii (Ord's kangaroo rat). The record is from Rfam by way of RNAcentral. Lineage: Eukaryota; Metazoa; Chordata; Mammalia; Rodentia; Heteromyidae.
GGCUAUGGGUCAGCUCAAGUGGUAGAGCAUCUGUCUGGUAAGCACAUGACCCUGGGUUCAUACUCCAGCACUGCCA